UCUCUGACUGAACUCUGGGCAGCUCUGACUGAACUCUGGUUAUUCCUGACUGAAUUCUAGUUGUUUUUGACUGAACUCUGAUAAUCUCAGACUGAACCCUAGUUGUCUCUGACUGAAUUUUGGGCAUCUCUGGCUGAACUCUGAUAGCUCUGAUUGCACUCUGAUCAUUUCUGACUGAAUUCUAGUUGUUUUUGACUGAAUUCUGGUAGCCUUUGACUGAACUCUGAGUGUCUCUGACUGAACUCUGGUCAUUUCUGACUGAAUUCUGGGCAUCUCUGACUAAACUCUGGGCAGCUCUGACUGAACUUGGGUCAUUUUUGACUAAAUUCUGAUUUUUUUUUUAACUGAACUUUGGUCAUCUCUCACUGAACCCUGGUCAUCGCUCACUGAACUCUGGGCAUCUCUGACAACUCUGGGCAUCUCUGACUGAACUCUGGUUGUCUCUGGCUGAACUCUGGGUGUCUCUGACUAAACUCUGGGCAGCUGUGAUUGAACUCUGGUUAUUUCUGACUGAAUUCUAGUUGUUUUUGACUGAACUCUGAUACUCUCAGACUGAACUCUGGUUGCCUCUGACUGAAUUCUGGGCAUCUCUGACUGAAUUCUGGGCAGCUCUGUCUGAACUCUGGUCAUUUCUGACUGAACCCUCAGCAUCUCUGACUGAACUCUGGGUGUCUCUGACUGAACUCUAGGCAUCUUCAGCUUCUACUCCCUGGUGUGGUGAGCACAGGGUGUGUCCUAGAGCCAUUGCUGGAGACCCAAGUAGGACUCGUUGGCCCUCUCCCAUCUUUUAAAGUUCUCCACCUUCUGUAUGUUUUGUUAGCGCCUUAAUACCAACCCCUCACACCUUCCUGGCACCCUAUGAUCCAGUAACGUUCACAACUUGUUCCCACAUCUAAGCUCUCCCAUGAGGCCGCAGGGCAGUAGCUGUUUCCCUGCUGAUAAGCCAGUAAGAAGUCUUUGAAACCCUGAGCCAUUUCUUUUUCUCUUUUUAUAAUGGUCUGCCUCUCAAACAAUUUCAUCUCCAGCAUUUUUCCCCGUUUUUUGGGAUUUUAUUAUUAUUAUUAUUUUUAAUCUGAUAGAGAGGGUGGAAGCUAAAAAAAAUCUCACAAAGAAACUGUAGAAAAAUCCGUCACCAUCCAUUUCCCCCCACCCUGGAGACCUUGCUGUUUUAGCCGCUCCAAAGAAACACUUUCAGUUGGUCACACCCUUUGCCAACAGCUGAGCUCGUGGCCUGGUCACGUUUAUAGCUCGCCCUGGAACGCUCCAUGUGGCGGAGGCUUUGGCGGAGCAAAACCACAAGCCACGGUGUCAACUGGCUAAACACCAACCCAGACGGAGCAGACAGAUCAAAUGGAAAGGCUCCCCCAUCCUGUCCUCUACACCACCUUGCAGCUGGGCCUCAGCAACUGGGCUUUUAAUUUCAGUCUAAUUCAAGUCAGCAGCAUAGGGCAGCUCCUGGGAAAUUGGUUUACACAUGCGGACAAGCCCAGUAGCCCAGAGCUAACCCACUCACCAUCCCUGACCACAGAGGAGCAGAUAAGGAAGCAAGAUUUGUCGGGAUGGAGUCUCGCUCUGUCACCCAGGCUGGAGUGCAGUG
This 1597-nucleotide long non-coding RNA is filed under the name Homo sapiens (human). RNAcentral's name for it is "HSALNT0379037". Lineage: Eukaryota; Metazoa; Chordata; Mammalia; Primates; Hominidae. The record is from RNAcentral.